GUCCACCUGUGCACACUCUGUAGGUCUGGAUACCCCAUUGGAAGGGUGCGCUUCGCGCUCCCUUUGCCUUUCCAGGCCUAUGUCUUAUAAACACUAUAGUAUGUAACGAAUGUCAUUGAUUAUUGGACUUCACUGUCCUUUAAACUAAAUACAACUUUCAACAACGGAUCUCUUGGCUCUCGCAUCGAUGAAGAACGCAGCGAAAUGCGAUAACUAAUGUGAAUUGCAGAAUUCAGUGAAUCAUCGAGUCUUUGAACGCACCUUGCGCCCUUUGGUACUCCGAAGGGCAUGCCUGUUUGAGUGUCAGUAACUUCUCAACCUCCCUCACUUUGUUGUGAGCUGGCGGAUUGGACGUGGGGGCUUGCUGGACCUACCUUUUUGGGUUCAGCUCCCCUGAAAUGCAUUAGCAGAAACCGUUACCUUUUGGCGCGCUGCAGCUGUGAUAAUUAUCUACGGCUAUGGCUGGGCUGACUGUGUUGUGUAGCGCUCGUUUCGUCUCUGAAGUGGUUUCGCCUUAGUUGGUGCUUCCCUUUGCCUUCUCUCUCACGAGAGAUACCUGUGACGCGAGUGCGCGGGCUAUUCAGCUUCUAACCGUCCCCC
This 600-nucleotide ribosomal RNA is filed under the name Flammulina velutipes. RNAcentral describes it as "eukaryotic LSU rRNA". The stretch from base 153 to 306 matches the Rfam family "5.8S ribosomal RNA". The record is from RNAcentral. Lineage: Eukaryota; Fungi; Basidiomycota; Agaricomycetes; Agaricales; Physalacriaceae.